GCCCGUCGCACCAUGAGAGCCGAUAACACCCGAAGCCUGUGAGCUAACCGUAAGGGGGCAGCAGUCGAAGGUGGGGUUGGUGAUUGGGGUGAAGUCGUAACAAGGUAGC
Molecule: ribosomal RNA, 109 nt
Filed under: uncultured bacterium
Lineage: Bacteria
Description: partial 16S ribosomal RNA
Rfam family: Bacterial small subunit ribosomal RNA
Source: RNAcentral